CCUACGGGUGGCAGCAGUGGGGAAUAUUGCACAAUGGGGGAAACCCUGAUGCAGCGACGCCGCGUGAGUGAAGAAGUAUUUCGGUAUGUAAAGCUCUGUCAGCAGGGAAGAAAAUGACGGUACCUGACCCAGUAGCCCCGGCUAACUACGUGCCAGCAGCCGCGGUCAUACGUCGGGGGCAAGCGUUAUCCGGAUUUACUGGGUGUAAAGGGAGCGUAGACGGCAGGGCAAGUCUGGAGUGAAAGGCGAGGGCUCAACCCCCGGACUGCUCUGGAAACUGCCAGGCUGGAGUGCAGGAGAGGUAAGUGGAAUGCCUAGUGUAGCGGUGAAAUGCGUAGAUAUUAGGAGGAACACCAGUGGCGAAGGCGGCUUACUGGACUGUAACUGACGUUGAGGCUCGAAAGCGUGGGGAGCAAACAGGAUUAGAUACCCGGGUAGUC
RNAcentral lists this ribosomal RNA (440 nucleotides) under uncultured bacterium. RNAcentral describes it as "partial 16S ribosomal RNA". It matches the Rfam family "Bacterial small subunit ribosomal RNA", at positions 338 to 795 of the family's 1533-position model. The record is from RNAcentral.